Trichobilharzia regenti is the source of this 46-nucleotide non-coding RNA. NCBI's taxonomy places the organism in Eukaryota, Metazoa, Platyhelminthes, Trematoda, Strigeidida, Schistosomatidae. The record is from Rfam.
GUACUGCUGAAGAGUCCCAAAAUAGGACGAAACAGCUGUCCAGUAC